RNAcentral lists this transfer RNA (96 nucleotides) under Actinomycetota bacterium. RNAcentral describes it as "tRNA-Sec". It matches the Rfam family "Selenocysteine transfer RNA". The record is from RNAcentral. Lineage: Bacteria; Bacillati; Actinomycetota. RNAcentral also lists the same sequence under 1 other name.
GGAGGCGUACGCGUUCCUGGUGGGCGCCCCGGUCUUCAAAACCGGUGAGGGUCGGUAUCCGGUCCUGGUGGGUUCGAUUCCCAUCCGCCUCCGCCA